Small nuclear RNA from Jaculus jaculus (lesser Egyptian jerboa), 103 nucleotides. The record is from RefSeq and is a predicted model, not a curated record. Lineage: Eukaryota; Metazoa; Chordata; Mammalia; Rodentia; Dipodidae.
GUGCUCACUUCAGCAGCACAUAUACUAAAAUUGGGACAAUACAAAAUUAGCACGGCCCUUGCACAAGGGUGACGUGCAAAUUUGUGAAGUGCUCCAUAGUUUC